AUUCUACUCCCUCCGUUGCACAAUACAUGCCUUCUAUUUGUAAAAAUAUAUAUGUAUCUCGACAUGUUUUAGUAUAUAGGUACAUCCAUUUUUGGACAAAUGGAAGUCAAGUAUUUUGGAACGGAGGGAGUACACA
Molecule: non-coding RNA, 136 nt
Organism: Triticum aestivum (bread wheat)
Lineage: Eukaryota; Viridiplantae; Streptophyta; Magnoliopsida; Poales; Poaceae
Source: Rfam